UACGGGGGGGGCAAGCGUUGUCCGGAAUUAUUGGGCGUAAAGAGCUCGUAGGCGGUCUGUCGCGUCGGCUGUGAAACCUUGGGGCUCAACCCCAAGCCUGCAGUCGAUACGGGCAGACUAGAGUGCGGUAGGGGAGACUGGAAUUCCUGGUGUAGCGGUGAAAUGCGCAGAUAUCAGGAGGAACACCGGUGGCGAAGGCGGGUCUCUGGGCCGGAACUGACGCUGAGGAGCGAAAGCGUGGGGAGCAAACAGG
Molecule: ribosomal RNA, 253 nt
Filed under: uncultured bacterium
Lineage: Bacteria
Description: partial 16S ribosomal RNA
Rfam family: Bacterial small subunit ribosomal RNA
Source: RNAcentral